Molecule: transfer RNA, 73 nt
Filed under: Marmota monax (woodchuck)
Lineage: Eukaryota; Metazoa; Chordata; Mammalia; Rodentia; Sciuridae
Description: tRNA.Ala
Source: RNAcentral
UACAGUGCAGCUCAGUGAUGGAGUGUUUUCCUAGCAUGCUCAAGGGCUCUGGGUUCAAUCCCCAGCACUGCAA